AAGUCGUAACAAGGUUUCCGUAGGUGAACCUGCGGAAGGAUCAUUACCUUUCAAUGCAGCAGAAUUGGGAUGGUUGAGUAUCUCGCCUCUCCGUUCUGCCUGUAUUCUACCCUUGUUUGUCAUAUACUAUUAUUUCCUCGGCAGACUUGCCUGCCGAGUGAAACCAUUUAUAACCUUUUUAAUUUUCAAUCAGCGUCUGAAAAAAUUAAUAAUUACAACUUUCAACAACGGAUCUCUUGGUUCUG
This 245-nucleotide unclassified non-coding RNA is filed under the name Paraphoma chrysanthemicola. RNAcentral describes it as "partial internal transcribed spacer region". The stretch from base 1 to 46 matches the Rfam family "Eukaryotic small subunit ribosomal RNA", at positions 1786 to 1831 of the family's 1831-position model. The record is from RNAcentral. Lineage: Eukaryota; Fungi; Ascomycota; Dothideomycetes; Pleosporales; Phaeosphaeriaceae.